RNAcentral lists this ribosomal RNA (440 nucleotides) under uncultured bacterium. Its description in RNAcentral is "partial 16S ribosomal RNA". It matches the Rfam family "Bacterial small subunit ribosomal RNA", at positions 338 to 795 of the family's 1533-position model. The record is from RNAcentral.
CCUACGGGCGGCAGCAGUGGGGGAUAUUGCACAAUGGGGGAAACCCUGAUGCAGCGACGCCGCGUGAGUGAAGAAGCGCCUCGGCGCGUAAAGCCCUGUCAGCAGGGAAGAAAAUGACGGUACCUGAAGAAGAAGCCCCGGCUAACUACGGGCCAGCAGCCGCGGUGAGACGUAGGGGGCAAGCGUUAUCCGGCUUUACUGGGUGUAAAGGGGGCGCAGACGGCGAUGCAAGCCAGGAGUGAAAGGCCGGGGCCCAACCCCGGGACUGCUCUGGGAAGUGCGUGGGUAGAGUGCAGGAGGGGCAGGCGGAAUUCCUGGUAUAGCGGUGAAAUGCGUAGAUAUCAGGAGGAACACCGGUGGCGAAGGCGGCCUGCUGGACUGCAACUGACGUUGAGGCCCGAAAGCGUGGGGAGCAAACAGGAUUAGAUACCCUAGUAGUC